This 23-nucleotide non-coding RNA is filed under the name Arabidopsis thaliana (thale cress). The record is from RNAcentral. Lineage: Eukaryota; Viridiplantae; Streptophyta; Magnoliopsida; Brassicales; Brassicaceae.
CAAGAACGCCUCUUGGAUGCCUA